GUUUCUCGAUGCUGCUCCGGUGGUAACGCUAGUCUCGGGAAGUUGCCUGACAAUUUCGGCCAUGUCGUUGCCGAACCCAGAGUUGGAUCCCUGCUCCGAUAAAUCAUGCAUCGAUUAGCAUUAAAUCUGAUAAGCGAUAUCUGUGCAAGCACAUGACUUCAAAUUAUGUGGCUAUUCCCGUCAUACUCGAGGCAACUCUUCAGCUUUCAAUCCGCUACAUGUGUUAUCCGCUCUUCCUCCAAACCCAUCUACACGUAGCGAUUACUACGCCUGCCGAUGUAUCGUAAAAAUAUGCUUUUUUUCUCCUCGCGGAAGCUCGAAGCAAAAUAAAAAAAAAGCGUUAUCACUGGUCUAACGAGUUUAUUCGUUCUUUGAAUUUACACUAGCUGAAAGUGAUUUUAGUUUUUAGCAUGAAACGUCACAGAUUGACAGAAAGCACAAACGCAUCUAAUCCAAAGAAACGUUGAA
This is a long non-coding RNA of Phymastichus coffea, 468 nucleotides long. RefSeq lists it as uncharacterized. NCBI's taxonomy places the organism in Eukaryota, Metazoa, Arthropoda, Insecta, Hymenoptera, Eulophidae. The record is from RefSeq and is a predicted model, not a curated record. The transcript has 3 exons.